UUAGGUGCUGAGUGGCGGGAGGCAACAGAGUUAAUGAAAGCUCUGAAAAUCCUGCUCGGUAAAGUCCAUUGUGGGAAGACGAUUGUGAAGCAAGAGCCAUCACAGCACGUACAUGGACAGGAUGGGACAGCAGAAUCCAGCCUGGCCAGUCAAAGGAAAGCAGGAGCGGAGGGAGAGCAGGAUCCUGGUGGGCUCCAGCAGCAUGGACGCUCCAAUAGGAAAGGCCCCUUUGUCACCUACGAAGAACAAGGUCUAGGUCCUCAGCCUGGGAGGUCCAUGCUGGCCUGUCUGACUGAGCUUGAGGUGGAGAGUCUGAUGGCAACUUCCCCCCUUGCCAGGACCUUGCGUGAGAUCAGGCAGGCUUUGGAGAAGCAGCAGCAGUAUCCUAUUGCUUCUGCUGCAGAGGCAUAUUUGAGUGACAGUUCUCCAAGGUCCACCAGGAAUUCAUUGGUCACCACAGAUCUGUCCAGCUUGUCCCCUCGCCAGUUUGUGGUUUACCGCUUUGGCCGCACUGUGAUUCGCCUGCUAAGCCGGGCCUACUCCCACCCGGCUGUGGUACUCAUGUUGGCUCAGACAGUCCCAGACCAAAGCCCAGAAGGGGUCCAAGAGGCUCUCCAAAGCCCUGGAGAUUCCUACUAUGAUGCCACCAACAGGUUCCUGUAUAUAUGUUCAGCACGCCUGGAGAAUGCCGGGGAAUUUAUAGCCAUCCUGCUGAAUGCCAUGGCAUGGAUCAAAGCAGGAUCUACAGCAGCUGCCACUGCUCAUUCUUGCUUUCAGAUGGAACUCAACAAAGGCAUCACAGCUCUGGCCAAUGCCUUUUUCCAGUGUUCCUGGGGAGCAGUAGAGAAGGAUCCUGCAGAAGACAAACCAUCCACUUGCUUUGACUCCCAGACAAUAUUUGAAGAACUUCUGAGCAUCCGAAUGUCACCAGAUCCCCAAUUCCUUGAGAAAUCUCAACAUGAGAGGUUGCAACAUUACCAAUGUUUUCAGCUUCAGGCGGAGAUUCGGGAUAUGAUGGAAAGUUCAAGGAGAAAAGGAGCAAUGAAGUGGAGUGGUGAGGGGGAUAAGAAAAAUGCAGAGUCCUCUGGCAUUCAGACACUGGGCAGGAUUCAUGAGGAGGAAGCACAACACUUCACAGAGCAGCUGGAAUCCUGGGCCACAAAGAGAGAACAGGCCCAGUUGCUGGAAAUUAAGAAGAGCUGUGUUGCUCAGAGAAUUAAAGACACAGAAUCUGAGCUGUUUCAUCUUCUGCAAACCACAACGGCCACCAGCUCAUCUCCUGAAGGAGUCCAGCAAUCCUUUUGUACCAGCUAAAAGCAUCCAACUGAUGAUGUUCCAUCAUUGCUGGGGCGAACAGACCUGUGAACACAUAGACACCUAAUUUCCAUGGGACAUUCAUACAUGUACAGACACACAGUGACAUGCUGGUACAUAUAUGAGUCUACACAACCUUCAACACACACACAUGCAUGAUGUGGGUUAUAUGGGCACAUAUCGGCAGAUAAAUAUAUGCACAGAAACAAAGACACUAAUGGAUACAGUUUGAUACAAAUACAUAUGAACAGAUGUACAUCAUGAACAGAUGUACAUGUACAGAGAUGUUCACAUGCACACUGAUAGAUGCAUGCUGUAGAUCCUACAUAUAUACAUUCUUUACAGCUGUGAAGGCGUAGACUCAAAUGUAUUCCUACUCACUGUUAAUCAUCCACAAUUGUGCAGGGUUGAAAAUAUCAAUGUUCUUAACUUAUAUUGGUGUUCUGAAUGUACCACUCUCAAUCAAUAAGACAAAAAGGGAGUAGGAAAUUAGACUCUUCACAUACAUUGCAGGAAAUCCCUGCCCAUCAGCAAAAUAAAUUAUGUGCAUCUCAUGCA
Long non-coding RNA from Chrysemys picta bellii (western painted turtle), 1872 nucleotides. Lineage: Eukaryota; Metazoa; Chordata; Testudines; Emydidae. The record is from Ensembl.